GACGAACGCUGGCGGCGUGCUUAACACAUGCAAGUCGAACGGAAAGGCCCUGCUUUUGUGGGGUGCUCGAGUGGCGAACGGGUGAGUAACACGUGAGUAACCUGCCCUUGACUUUGGGAUAACUUCAGGAAACUGGGGCUAAUACCGGAUAGGAGCUCCUGCUGCAUGGUGGGGGUUGGAAAGUUUCGGCGGUUGGGGAUGGACUCGCGGCUUAUCAGCUUGUUGGUGGGGUAGUGGCUUACCAAGGCUUUGACGGGUAGCCGGCCUGAGAGGCUGACCGGCCACAUUGGGACUGAGAUACGGCCCAGACUCCUACGGGAGGCAGCAGUGGGGAAUAUUGCACAAUGGGCGGAAGCCUGAUGCAGCAACGCCGCGUGCGGGAUGACGGCCUUCGGGUUGUAAACCGCUUUCGCCGGUGACGAAGCGUGAGUGACGGUAAUGAGUAAAGAAGCAACGGCUAACUACGUG
RNAcentral lists this ribosomal RNA (468 nucleotides) under uncultured bacterium. Its description in RNAcentral is "partial 16S ribosomal RNA". It matches the Rfam family "Bacterial small subunit ribosomal RNA", at positions 28 to 507 of the family's 1533-position model. The record is from RNAcentral.